RNAcentral lists this ribosomal RNA (408 nucleotides) under uncultured bacterium. Its description in RNAcentral is "partial 16S ribosomal RNA". It matches the Rfam family "Bacterial small subunit ribosomal RNA", at positions 28 to 526 of the family's 1533-position model. The record is from RNAcentral.
GACGAACGCUGGCGGCGUGCCUAAUACAUGCAAGUCGAACGAAGUGGCGAACGGGUGAGUAAUACGUGAGUAACCUGCCCUCCUCUUUGGGAUAAGCCUUGGAAACGGGGUCUAAUACCGAAUAAAGGGGGAUGGGCUCGCGGCCUAUCAGCUUGUUGGUGGGGUGAUGGCCUACGAGGGCGGUGACGGGUAGCCGGCCUGAGAGGGUGACCGGCGACAUUGGGACUGAGAUACGGCCCAGAGUCCUACGGGAGGCAGCAGUGUGGGAAAUUGGACAAUGGGCGAAAAGCUGAUGCAGCGGCGCCGCGUGGGGGAUGAAGGCUUUCGGGUUGUAAACCUCUGUAGCGAACGAACGGGUAGGUGGAGAGAAAGCGCCGGCUAACUACGUGCCAGCAGCCGCGGUAAUUC